CCUACGGGAGGCAGCAGUAGGGAAUCUUCCACAAUGGGCGAAAGCCUGAUGGAGCAACGCCGCGUGAGUGAAGAAGGAUUUCGGUUCGUAAAACUCUGUUGUAAGGGAAGAACAAGUACAGUAGUAACUGGCUGUACCUUGACGGUACCUUAUUAGAAAGCCACGGCUAACUACGUGCCAGCAGCCGCGGUAA
This 193-nucleotide ribosomal RNA is filed under the name uncultured Lysinibacillus sp. Its description in RNAcentral is "partial 16S ribosomal RNA". It matches the Rfam family "Bacterial small subunit ribosomal RNA", at positions 338 to 523 of the family's 1533-position model. Lineage: Bacteria; Bacillati; Bacillota; Bacilli; Caryophanales; Bacillaceae. The record is from RNAcentral.